This 433-nucleotide ribosomal RNA is filed under the name uncultured bacterium. RNAcentral describes it as "partial 16S ribosomal RNA". It matches the Rfam family "Bacterial small subunit ribosomal RNA", at positions 29 to 507 of the family's 1533-position model. The record is from RNAcentral.
AACGAACGCUGGCGGCAUGCCUAACACAUGCAAGUCGAACGAAGGCUUCGGCCUUAGUGGCGCACGGGUGCGUAACGCGUGGGAAUCUGCCCUUUGCUUCGGAAUAACAGUUAGAAAUGACUGCUAAUACCGGAUGAUGUCGCAAGACCAAAGAUUUAUCGGCAAAGGAUGAGCCCGCGUAGGAUUAGCUAGUUGGUGGGGUAAAGGCCUACCAAGGCGACGAUCCUUAGCUGGUCUGAGAGGAUGAUCAGCCACACUGGGACUGAGACACGGCCCAGACUCCUACGGGAGGCAGCAGUGGGGAAUAUUGCAAAAUGGGCGGAAGCAUGAUCCAGCAAUGCCGCGUGAGUGAUGAAGGCCUUAGGGUUGUAAAGCUCUUUUACACGGGAUGAUAAUGACAGUACCGGGAGAAUAAGCACCGGCUAACUCCGUG